Molecule: non-coding RNA, 184 nt
Organism: Burkholderiales bacterium
Lineage: Bacteria; Pseudomonadati; Pseudomonadota; Betaproteobacteria; Burkholderiales
Source: Rfam
GACGUCCGUUGCGUUUCGUGGGCUUUAUAUUUCCUUGAUCCGAUGCUCAUUGAGCCAGGGCUUGGAACAUUGCGAGGCUGGUGUGAUCGUCUCGCGUCAGAUGAACCCGAAGCCUCGCUGACCUCGCCCACCUGAUCUCCCACUUGGGAUCAGGAAUGCGGUUCACGGUUCGCAACGGACACCC